UCGAUAUAACUUGAUAUGAAUAUAUUUACAUUUCUAUUUAUGUUUAUUAUUCUAAUUUUUGUUGAAUUAAAUAUUAUUUUGUUAUUGUAUUUAUUGAAGAUUAAAUUUUUUUUGUUAUAGUUUAAUUGUACUGUGAAGGUUUAAUUAAAUAUAUUUUAUAUUUUUAGAAGUUGAUUUAAUUUAUUGUACCUUGUGUAUCAGGGUUUAUUAAUAUAUUAAUAUUUAUUUUAUUAAUCCCGAUUUUAGGAGAGUUAAGCAAGUAUUUUAUUUACUGUGAAAUAAUUAUUAAUAAUAUUUGCUUAGUUGUGAAAUGUUAAUCGUUCUUAAAUGUAUCUGGUUUUCUGGGAAAUGAAUUUAAUUCAUUUAUUGAUUUUAUACAAUUUUAUUUUAUAAUUUGUAUUAAGUUAAUAUUAAUACCUUGGGAGAUAAGUUUUGAGGUAAAAAUAUUUAUAAAUUAUUUUAGUUUUUAUAAGUUUAUUGGAUUUAGAAGUGAUUAUUAUGUUGAAGAAUGUUAAAAUUUGACUUAUUUAAUUAUAUAUUUAUAUUUUGUUUUUAGAUUUAUUAUUGGAAAUUUUUAAUUAAUUUUUUAUUAGUUGUUAUAAUGAUAAAAUUAGUAUAAUUUGUUAAAUAUUUUUAAAUUAAGGUUUAUAAAAAAAGUUAAGGAAUUAGGCAAAAUUUUAAUAUGUUCGCCUGUUUAACAAAAACAUCUCUUCUUGUUUUAUAUUGGAAGUAUAACCUGCCCACUGAAUUUAAUUGAAGGGCCGCGGUAUUUUGACCGUGCAAAGGUAGCAUAAUCAUUAGUCUCUUAAUUAGAGGCUGGAAUGAAUGGUUGGACGAAAUAUAUACUGUCUUAUUUUUUAUUAUUGAAUUUAAUUAUUAAGUAAAAAAGCUUAAAUGUUAUUGUGGGACGAGAAGACCCUAUAGAGUUUAAUAGUUAUUAAUAUAUUUUUGGUUUGAUAUAAUCUUUAUUUUUAUAAUUAUUUUGUUGGGGUGAUGGGAAGAUAUAAUUAACUCUUUCUUUUGUUGUAUAUUGAUUUAUAUUUAUUUGAUCCAUUAUUAAUGAUUAUAAGUCAAAAUUACCUUAGGGAUAACAGCGUAAUCUUUUUUGAGAGUUCAUAUCGACAAAAAGGAUUGCGACCUCGAUGUUGGAUUAAGAUAAAUAUUAGGUGUAGAAGCUUAAUAUAUUAGGUCUGUUCGACCUUUAAAAUCUUACAUGAUCUGAGUUCAAACCGGCGUGAGCCAGGUUGGUUUCUAUCUAUAAUUUAAUAUAAUAUUUUAGUACGAAAGGACCAAAUAUUAGAAAUAAUUUUUUAUUUAUUGAAUAUUAUUAAUUACUAUUUUGGCAGAUAAGUGCGGUGGAUUUAGAAUCUAUA
This 1373-nucleotide ribosomal RNA is filed under the name Symploce macroptera. RNAcentral describes it as "16S ribosomal RNA". The stretch from base 622 to 1373 matches the Rfam family "Archaeal large subunit ribosomal RNA", at positions 1423 to 2873 of the family's 2987-position model. Lineage: Eukaryota; Metazoa; Arthropoda; Insecta; Blattodea; Blattellidae. The record is from RNAcentral.